GACGAACGCUGGCGGCGUGCCUAAUACAUGCAAGUUGAGCGAUGAAGAUUGGUGCUUGCACCAAUUUGAAGAGCAGCGAACGGGUGAGUAACGCGUGGGGAAUCUGCCUUUGAGCGGGGGACAACUUUUGGAAACGAAUGCUAAUACCGCAUAACAACUUUAAACAUAAGUUUUAAGUUUGAAAGAUGCAAUUGCAUCACUCAAAGAUGAUCCCGCGUUGUAUUAGCUAGUUGGUGAGGUAAAGGCUCACCAAGGCGAUGAUACAUAGCCGCCCUGAGAGGGUGGACGGCCACAUUGGGAAUGAGACACGGACCAAACUCCUAAGGGAGGCAGCAGUAGGGAAUCUUCGGCAAUGGACGAAAGUCUGGACGAGCAAAGCCGCGUGAGUGAAUAAGGUUUUCGGAUCGUAAAAAUCUGUUGGUAGAGAAGAACGUUGGUGAGAGUGGAAAGCUCAUCAAGUGACGGUAACUACCCAGAAAGGGACGGCUAACUACGUG
RNAcentral lists this ribosomal RNA (497 nucleotides) under uncultured bacterium. RNAcentral's name for it is "partial 16S ribosomal RNA". It matches the Rfam family "Bacterial small subunit ribosomal RNA", at positions 28 to 507 of the family's 1533-position model. The record is from RNAcentral.